RNAcentral lists this ribosomal RNA (252 nucleotides) under uncultured Bacteroides sp. Its description in RNAcentral is "partial 16S ribosomal RNA". It matches the Rfam family "Bacterial small subunit ribosomal RNA", at positions 524 to 776 of the family's 1533-position model. Lineage: Bacteria; Pseudomonadati; Bacteroidota; Bacteroidia; Bacteroidales; Bacteroidaceae. The record is from RNAcentral.
UACGGAGGAUGCGAGCGUUAUCCGGAUUUAUUGGGUUUAAAGGGUGCGCAGGCGGUCUGUUAAGUCAGCGGUCAAAGCCCGGGGCUCAACCCCGGCCCGCCGUUGAAACUGGGGAUCUAGAGUGUGCGAGAGGUAUGCGGAAUUCGUGGUGUAGCGGUGAAAUGCUUAGAUAUCACGAAGAACUCCGAUUGCGAAGGCAGCUCACUGGACUGCAACUGACACUGAGGCUCGAAAGUGUGGGUAUCAAACAGG